GAUGAACGCUGACAGAAUGCUUAACACAUGCAAGUCAACUCGAAGCAGUUUCGGCUGUGGAUGGUGGCGGACGGGUGAGUAACGCGUAAAUAACUUGUCCUUUAGACUGGGACAACUGUUGGAAACGACAGCUAAUACCGGAUAUUAUGAAACCUUGGCAUCAAGGGAUUAUGAAAGCUAUAUGCGCUAGAGGAGAGAUUUGCGUCCUAUUAGCGAGUUGGUGAGGUAAUGGCUCACCAAGGCGACGAUAGGUAGCCGGCCUGAGAGGGUGAACGGCCACAAGGGGACUGAGACACGGCCCUUACUACUACGGGAGGCAGCAGUGGGGAAUAUUGGACAAUGGACCAAGAGUCUGAUCCAGCAAUUCUGUGUGUUUGAUGAAGGCCUUCGGGUUGUAAAGAACUUUAAGUAGGGAAGAAGAAAGUGACGGUACCUACAGAAUAUGCGACGGCUAAAUACGUGCCAGCAGCCGCAGUAA
This 478-nucleotide ribosomal RNA is filed under the name uncultured bacterium. RNAcentral describes it as "partial 16S ribosomal RNA". It matches the Rfam family "Bacterial small subunit ribosomal RNA", at positions 28 to 523 of the family's 1533-position model. The record is from RNAcentral.